CUGUGCUCUCACUGGGGCCUCCCCAAAGCCUCUUUUCUCAGCACUUUGGGGCCCCAGUCCUCCCCAUCUUGCUUCGACCUUGUGGUGUUGGAAAGGGGCCCUGGAUUUAAAAGAUUCAGAUUAGAAUUCCGUAUGCAUCACAUGUUUCUUGUGUGUCUCCACACAACUUGAAUUCUCCGACUCUCAGUGCUAUAGACUGAAUGUUUGUGUUUCCUCAAAAUUCAUAUGUUGAAUCCUACCCCACAGUAUGAUGGUAUUUGGAGGUGGGACCUGGGGGAGGUGAUUAGGUCAUGUGGGUGGGGCCUUCAUGAAUGGGUUUAGUGCCCUUAUAAAAGUGGCCCCAGAGUACUCCCUGGCCCCUUCUGCCAUGUGAAGAUACAGCAAGAAAACGGCUGUCUAUCAACCAGGAAGAGGCCCUCACCAGAAUCCGCCACACUGACACCCUGAUCUCAGGAUUCCAGCCUCCAGAACUGCGAGAAAUAAAUUUCUGUUGUUAAUAAGCCACCUAGUCUAUGACAUUCCAUUAUAGCCUCCCUGGCAGAUGAAGACGCUCAGUCUCCCAGUUUGUCAAACAAGGGUGAUUGACACCGUAUCACAUUUCCCCUGCAGCCAGAGCGCGCGUUCUAUUAUAUCAUCAAUUACAUACGGACACACAUCUGGGUUCUUGGGUUCUUGCAGCUGAGCGCUCAGCUAUCUGGGAGAAGAGGCCCCGUCCCGUCUCGGCUGCAGCAGAUGAAGACUGGACCAUAUGCCGAUCGCUUGGCUGGACCCGUGAAUCUGAGAGACUUCCCAUUCCAUUUUCAAAACUUCCAGCAAAGCCAGAUGUAUGAGAAAAAAGACAUCCGGCCUCUGUAAGUUUUGACACAGUAGGAAACAGACUGAUCCCUGGAAGAUCAAUACAAAAGGCAACGCGGCAGUUCGACAGCUGAAAAUACAGGCGGCGGCAGCCAGCCACGCCUGUGGGCAGGGGAGAGGGAGUAGAAUGUACUUACGGACCCAGUAAUACUGACCAUAUUGAAGGGUAAGUGGCAUCCAAAGCGAGGCUGGCACUUGCUAAAGUGGUAGUAAACCAGAGCACACCUUCAGUGCCGGAGAAGAACGUUUCUGUCGCUCCCUGGAACUGCUCCUGGAAAUGCCAUGGCUCAGAUGAAGCCCACACAUGCCCAUACCCACAGCUUCAGUUUUUUACAUCAGCCCACAUUGCAAUCUGGGAGCGAUAGGAGCAGAGGUAGACCCUCUGCUCCCAUCCCUGAUAGCCAGGGACAAUUUGCUCUUAUGAGAGAUCAAAGACCUUGAAUGCGUUCAUUUAUUUUGCUAUGAGUGGAGACAGUCUCCCUGAGUAGGUACUCAAGGGAGAAUUCUGGAACAUAUUUCUGCCUGUGGGGGUGCUAAAGUAUUGCAGCAUGUGUUUAGUCUGGCAUAUGUUGGAGCCACCAUGCCCAGUGGGGCGCUGACUGACUGGGAAUGGGUGCCAGCCUGGGGCAGGUAUGCUGGGAUUUAAGUUCUUUUCUGUGGAUCUAACCAAGUUGCUCCUUCCUUCCCUGCUUGGUACAAACUAGUCGAGAAAACAAAAAAACAAGGCAUUUGCAACAAAUUUAAGUACAAUAUGGAUAGAAUGAUUCUAGAGAUGCCCUGAGGCAGUGCCCGGUGGAUCCCAGCUGGGGAACACACAGGGGUGCUUUGGGAGUUUAGGGAAGAGAAGGGCUGUGGGGAAAUUAGGGAUCAGUGAAGCUCCUGGGGUUCAGGAACAGUUGAUAGAGCCCAGUCGGGGCCCUUGGCUAACCCCAGAGAGCCAGGUCUGUGGAAAGCCAUAUCUGCUUCUGAGAAAAUGUUUGAAGGAAGCGGGAAUCAGGAAUAUGGUUCUAUCCAGAACCCCUUGGAUUUCAGCCUAAGACAGAGGAGAAGGCCUGGCUUCCUGGGAAGGCUCAGAAUGGGCAUAUUCCACUUCAUGGAGUAGUAUAUUCCCCCAGACAUGGCCCCUAUCGGACCACACUGUGGACUCACUCCCUUCAUCAAUGGCUGAGAGACUAAAUUAGGCUAAAAUGCACAUGAUGGUCAGGCUGAAGUGGCAACCAAGUGACAAAGCCUGCAAACUGGGGCAGAUGUGAGGACCCUCCUUGUGCAAGUCCUAGGCCCAGGGUUGAGGAAAUGACUCUGGGCUGUCAAGCCCCAGCUGAUGGCCUCUCCUCCACUGGCAGCAGCAGCAACCUUCCUUAUUCUCUGCCUCCUCCCAGUCCUAUGCACACGGGCCAGGUCUGGAAUGUCACUGGGGAGCCGCCAAUGAAGCCAAGCAGAUGAAAUGGUACAAAUAGUUGAGGAUACAAGGCAUCUGCAAAAAGUGUAAUUACAAUAUAGACGUCACAAUGCAAGAGAUGCCACAAGGCAGUGCACAGUGGACCCCAGCUGGGGAACAGGCAGGGGUGUCUGGGGAGUUUAGGGAAGGGCUGUAGGGAAAUUAGUGGUUAGUGCAGGUAAUGCUGGCAAUGUUUGCAGAAGGCAUGUGUCAUGAUAUGGUAGAACAUGUUCUCCAGAGAAGCUCCUUUAAAAGGCUCUUCUACGCCGGGUGCAGUGGCUCAUGUCUGUAAUUCCAGCACUUUGGGAGGUCGAAGUGGGCAGAUCACCUGAGGUCAGGAGUUCAAGAACAGCCUGGCCAACAUGGCGAAACCCCAUUUGUAAAAUAUGAAAAUUACAAAUUAGUCAGGUAUGGUGGCGGGCGCCUAUAAUUCCAGCUACUCGGGAGGCUGAGUCAGGGAGAAUUGCUGGAACCCAAGAGGCGGAGGUUGCAGUGAGCCAAGAUCCUACCACAGCAAUCCAGCCUGUGCAACAGAGUGAGACUUCAUCUCAAAAUAAAUAAAUAAAUAAAUAAAAUAAACAUUUACAAAGACUCUUCUUAGCCUGGGUAUAGAACUGACAUUAGUGGUAGAUCUAGAGAAUAAAAUGAUCUAUUCUUUUCCUCCUCUGCAGGUCAAGUCCAUUCUUAUGUUUAUUUAUGAAUCCAUUAUUAUGUUCACAUAUAUGUUUCUUCUCUUUUUUUUCUAUGUGCAUGGAACUGUAUUGGCCUUGUGACCAUUAUAGUGCAUUUUAUUAGCAUUUGUAAGCAUUGCAAUAAAUUAGACAUUUUUAAAGUGCAUAUCUCUAAAAAUAAUUACUUCAGUUUUGGCUAACACAGAGGUAUCCCCAAGAGGAACAUCAAUUUCUUUUGUUGGAGAAAAG
RNAcentral lists this long non-coding RNA (3213 nucleotides) under Homo sapiens (human). RNAcentral's name for it is "HSALNT0160722". The record is from RNAcentral. Lineage: Eukaryota; Metazoa; Chordata; Mammalia; Primates; Hominidae.